Nematostella vectensis (starlet sea anemone) is the source of this 1723-nucleotide long non-coding RNA. RefSeq lists it as uncharacterized. The record is from RefSeq and is a predicted model, not a curated record. The transcript is spliced from 2 exons. NCBI's taxonomy places the organism in Eukaryota, Metazoa, Cnidaria, Anthozoa, Actiniaria, Edwardsiidae.
AUAUGGUAUAACUAUGCGACUUGGUUGUUGUGGUCAUCGUUCGGGUACCCUGUGUGUCACAAUCCAGGAAAUCAUGCAACUCCCAGGCCCCACUCGGCCCCAACUAGAAAGUCAUCGUCAAGUGACACGUCAAUCAAGAUGACGCCAUGAUGAUGUUUACUCAAUCACCAAACUGGACAUAACCGGUAUAUAACCAGUCUAACUGGAAAUAACGCUUACGUGUUUUUACACAUUUUUUACCACCGCCCCCAAACUUCCCCACUUAUGCUUCAAAGUUCUUUUAUGAACAACGCAAACCCGCAAAGCGAAACAAGAAAUUGAAUAUUGAGAAGUUUAUUAUUGCCACUGUGACCAUGGACGACCUUCACGUGGUGAUAAAAGAGGUACGUGCACAACUAUUAUGGUUUUAUGUUUACAUCCAGUAGGUAUAUGUUAAAAAACUUACGGUUUUUAAGUUAAGUAUAUGUUAGAAAGGUUUUUCACGGAUUUAUUAUCAGACAUUAUGAAAAAUGCUAAAAUAAAACAUACUAACGUUUUAUUUUUAAGAAUAAAAUACUUCUAUUGUACAGAAAAUAAUGUGUGUACAAUUGUUUUGCUAAAACUCGCGCCCAAAAACAAGAUGGCGGUAGUCUUGCGCGCGCUUUUUAGGUAUAUUUUAUACCAUUGGGCUAAUUUUCAGAUCAUGUCAUCUCGUUUCGAUCUAUUUUAGUUGAAGAACAACCAAGAAGAGGGGAGGAGCAAAAUAAUGAGGAGGAGAGGUCACGCAGGCCACGAGUGUUGAAAGAAGAACAAAGAGCUCGGCAAAGACAGCGUGAGGAGCAAAGAGUGCGAAAAAGACAGACGAGCUCCGAGUACAGGUUAAGUGGUGAGCAAUAAGUCCGGAAAAAGCAAAAGGACUCGGAUUACGAACUAGAUGACGAGCAGAGAGCGACAGAGGGCAUCUAGACUCAAGAUGAAACAACAGAGGCAGCCCUCCACUACUACCGCUUUUGUUGUUCUCAAAGAUGUUUCGCAAGGUUGUCGUCUGUCAAUUACAGCAUAAAAUAAAGAAAUCGCAUAUUUACAUGACCCAAAGUUACCCAUGAACCUAUGCCGGUAUGAUAUACAUAGAUUCUAGAUGGUGUUUAUUGGUGUAUUUUAGGUGAAGCCUAACGUUUGGAAAAUAUAUAAUUUGAUACUUCUUUCAUCCUUUUUUAUAGAGAAGAACAACAACAAGAUAAAAAGAGUUGAUGCAGCUGUAGGCGGCGGCAGUGGUGGGGCCAAGCAGUUUGUCUUCCACAUAUAUUGAUUUCCAUAUUUAGGGGAGUGCUUUUGGUGCCUCCUCUAAAUAUGGAAAUUUAUUUGGUUGCGUGGUAGACACGCUGUUGUCUCUUUAUUAAUACAUGUUUGAACAUUUAUUAUUUUAUUGUCAUUCUCGUGCUCAAUUCAAUUCAUUCAUCCAUCAUAAUCAUGGGUAGUCUUCCUGGGGGAGUGGAGGGAGGUAAAUAUAUCAGUUGUUAUUGAAUACAAAAAUUCAUUAAUUUGAUACCCCUAAAGGAUAGCAGUAUCAGAAUAACCAUUAACACCCCCUGAGGGAUAGUAGUUGGGUGAAGUUUAUACCCUAAAAGAUAGAAUGAUUAUCUACACCCCAUCUACUUUUUUGGAGAGUCAAACCCCAGGGGGUGGGGGUCAUGGCAGAAAUUAGUAAUGUACCCAAGACACCAGGAUUUACUUGGAAAUGGAU